UGGGGAAUUUUGGACAAUGGGGGAAACCCUGAUCCAGCCAUCCCGCGUGUGCGAUGAAGGCCUUCGGGUUGGAAAGCACUUUUGGCAGGAAAGAAACGUCAUGGGUUAAUACCCCGUGAAACUGACGGUACCUGCAGAAUAAGCACCGGCUAACUACGUGCCAGCAGCCGCGGUAAUACGUAGGGUGCAAGCGUUAAUCGGAAUUACUGGGCGUAAAGCGUGCGCAGGCGGUUCGGAAAGAAAGAUGUGAAAUCCCAGAGCUCAACUUUGGAACUGCAUUUUUAACUACCGGGCUAGAGUGUGUCAGAGGGAGGUGGAAUUCCGCGUGUAGCAGUGAAAUGCGUAGCUAUGCGGGGGAACACCGAUGGCGAAGGCAGCCUCCUGGGAUAACACUGACGCUCAUGCACGAACGCGUGGGGAGCAAACAGG
RNAcentral lists this ribosomal RNA (429 nucleotides) under Acidobacteriota bacterium. Its description in RNAcentral is "Acidobacteria bacterium partial 16S ribosomal RNA". It matches the Rfam family "Bacterial small subunit ribosomal RNA", at positions 355 to 776 of the family's 1533-position model. Lineage: Bacteria; Pseudomonadati; Acidobacteriota. The record is from RNAcentral.